CUCCUACGGGGGGCAGGCAGUGGGGAAUCGUUGCACAAUGGGGGAAACCCUGGAUGCAGCGACGCCGCGUGAGCGAUGAAGCCCUUCGGGGUGUUAAAGGCUCUUUCGUCGGGGAAGAGUAAUGACGGUACCCGGAGAAGCAGCUGCGGCUAACUACGUGCCAGCAGCCGCGGUAAUUC
This 179-nucleotide ribosomal RNA is filed under the name uncultured bacterium. RNAcentral describes it as "partial 16S ribosomal RNA". It matches the Rfam family "Bacterial small subunit ribosomal RNA", at positions 336 to 526 of the family's 1533-position model. The record is from RNAcentral.